AUGCACGCUGGCGGCGUGCCUCAUCCAUGCAAGUCGCGCGAACAGAUAAGGAGCUUGCUCCUUUGACGUUAGCGGCGGACGGGUGAGUAACACGUGGGUAACCUACCUAUAAGACUGGAAUAACUCCAGGAAACCGGGGCUAAUGCCGGAUAACAUUUAGAACCGCAUGGUUCUAAAGUGAAAGAUGGUUUUGCUAUCACUUAUAGAUGGACCCGCGCCGUAUUAGCUAGUUGGUAAGGUAACGGCUUACCAAGGCAACGAUACGUAGCCGACCUGAGAGGGUGAUCGGCCACACUGGAACUGAGACACGGUCCAGACUCCUACGGGAGGCAGCAGUAGGGAAUCUUCCGCAAUGGGCGAAAGCCUGACGGAGCAACGCCGCGUGAGUGAUGAAGGUCUUCGGAUCGUAAAACUCUGUUAUUAGGGAAGAACAAAUGUGUAAGUAACUGUGCACGUCUUGACGGUACCUAAUCAGAAAGCCACGGCUAACUACGUG
Molecule: ribosomal RNA, 496 nt
Filed under: uncultured bacterium
Lineage: Bacteria
Description: partial 16S ribosomal RNA
Rfam family: Bacterial small subunit ribosomal RNA
Source: RNAcentral